This is a long non-coding RNA of Brassica rapa (field mustard), 1076 nucleotides long. RefSeq lists it as uncharacterized. The record is from RefSeq and is a predicted model, not a curated record. Lineage: Eukaryota; Viridiplantae; Streptophyta; Magnoliopsida; Brassicales; Brassicaceae.
AGGGUAUGCCGUGUUCUUCUUUCCCAUCACCAGAACUGAUGGAGAUUAUAGUUGUGCAGACACUGAUGGAGAUUAUAGUUGUGCAGACGAUCUUUCAUCUUCUUCCUUACAGUUCGAAACGAUACAAGUAACCGAGUUAUCCUCUUUAAACUCUUCAUUAAUGGUCAUACACGGUCUACAAUCAAUGCGAAUUUUUGUUAUACAAGACGGUGGAUUUCGACUAUAAAAAGACUGUCCGCUCCUCUUCCACCGUUGAAGUUCGCUUGCUCUGUUUCUAAGAGGCCAGGAAACAAAUACGAUGUUGAUGUUAGUUUCUCUUUAAGAAACUAAACUGGUGCUGGUGUUAGUUUCUCUUUGGUCUCUUGAUUAAAAACUGUUUCUGAGUAGGUAUUUUGUUCUACGUUUAAUUGUGGAUUCCGUCCAAGCUCCCAAAGAAUUGUUGCUGGAAGAGUUGAAUCCAAACAGAAAAGUUUUAUUGUGCAGUUUUUUCUAAUAUGUUUCAUAAAUAUGCAGGUGAAACUUUGGACACCUUGAAGAGGGCGAUUUAUGUACGAGAUACAACUGCAAAAAGUGCGUUUGAAGCUAUUGAGAAUUCACUUGCAUUAUCUCCCAAACACAAAAGAACAGCAACACUCUCUAUACAGAGAUCAUGCGAGUAGAUCUCAGAGUUUGUUACUCAGAUUUCUAUCACUACUGCUGGAACUGGUAUCACUAAGCGGUUCACUGUGAUAUGUAGCCUUACUUCAAGUCGUGUACCUUUUUGCACAAACAAGUUCUUCAACACUGGACUUGGUUUCAGUUUGGUAAUAGUGUCUUGGGCUGUGGAUGGACUCAAGGAGAUGAUUACUUAAAGCAUGCCUUUUCAAUGGGUUAUGGCUUUUAAGUUAGCAAUGAGAACCAGAGUUAUAUCUGUGGAAGCAAAAGUUACGACCAGUAUUUUAUUUUUGAAUGGGAAACGUCUUAUUAUCCUUUGUAAAUUAUAUGUUUCUCCAAUGACCUGAAGAAUAUAUAAAUUGGUUUAUGUUUGUGAGAAUCAAGAACAAACAAAUACUUGAAUAUAAAACAUGUUUACCUAA